This 492-nucleotide ribosomal RNA is filed under the name uncultured bacterium. RNAcentral's name for it is "partial 16S ribosomal RNA". It matches the Rfam family "Bacterial small subunit ribosomal RNA", at positions 29 to 507 of the family's 1533-position model. The record is from RNAcentral.
AGUGAACGCUGGCGGUAGGCCUAACACAUGCAAGUCGAACGGCAGCACAGUAAGAGCUUGCUCUUACGGGUGGCGAGUGGCGGACGGGUGAGGAAUACAUCGGAAUCUACUUUUUCGUGGGGGAUAACGUAGGGAAACUUACGCUAAUACCGCAUACGACCUACGGGUGAAAGCAGGGGAUCUUCGGACCUUGCGCGAUUGAAUGAGCCGAUGUCGGAUUAGCUAGUUGGCGGGGUAAAGGCCCACCAAGGCGACGAUCCGUAGCUGGUCUGAGAGGAUGAUCAGCCACACUGGAACUGAGACACGGUCCAGACUCCUACGGGAGGCAGCAGUGGGGAAUAUUGGACAAUGGGCGCAAGCCUGAUCCAGCCAUACCGCGUGGGUGAAGAAGAUCUUCGGGUUGUAAAGCCCUUUUGUUGGGAAAGAAAAGCAGCAGGUUAAUACCCCGCUGUUCUGACGGUACCCAAAGAAUAAGCACCGGCUAACUUCGUG